GAUGAAGAACGCAGCGAAAUGCGAUAAGUAAUGUGAAUUGCAGAAUUCAGUGAAUCAUCGAAUCUUUGAACGCACCUUGCGCCCUUUGGCUAUUCCAGAGGGCAUGCCUGUUUGAGUAUCAUGAACACCUCAACUCUCAUGGUUCUGCCAUGAUGAGCUUGGACUUUGGAGGUCUUGCUGGCCCCUGUGGUCAGCUCCUCUCAAAUGGAUCAGCUUGCCAGUGUUUGGUGGCAUCACAGGUGUGAUAACUAUCUACGCUUGUGGUUUUCCACCAGGUAACCUUCAGUGAUGGAGGUUCGCUGGAGCUCAUAAACGUCUCUCCUCAGUGAGGACAGCUUCUUGAAUGUUUGAUCUCAAAUCAGGUAGGGCUACCCGCUGAACUUAAGCAUAUCAAUAAGCGGAGGA
RNAcentral lists this unclassified non-coding RNA (405 nucleotides) under soil metagenome. RNAcentral's name for it is "partial contains 5.8S ribosomal RNA, internal transcribed spacer 2, and large subunit ribosomal RNA". The stretch from base 1 to 121 matches the Rfam family "5.8S ribosomal RNA", at positions 35 to 154 of the family's 154-position model. The record is from RNAcentral.